RNAcentral lists this unclassified non-coding RNA (390 nucleotides) under soil metagenome. RNAcentral's name for it is "partial contains 5.8S ribosomal RNA, internal transcribed spacer 2, and large subunit ribosomal RNA". The stretch from base 1 to 120 matches the Rfam family "5.8S ribosomal RNA", at positions 35 to 154 of the family's 154-position model. The record is from RNAcentral.
GAUGAAGAACGCAGCGAAAUGCGAUAAGUAAUGUGAAUUGCAGAAUUCAGUGAAUCAUCGAAUCUUUGAACGCACCUUGCGCUCCUUGGUAUUCCGAGGAGCAUGCCUGUUUGAGUGUCAUUAAAUUCUCAACCUUUCCAGCUUUUGCGAGUUUGGAUUGGCUUGGAUGUGGAGGUUUGCAGGCUUCUCAGAAGUCAGCUCCUCUUAAAUGCAUUAGCGGAACCUUUGUGGACCAGCUUUGGUGUGAUAAUUAUCUAUGCCAUGGUUGUGAAGCAGUUUUUAUAUGGGGUUCAGCUUCUAACAGUCCAUUGACUUGGACAAUUUCUGACAUUUUGACCUCAAAUCAGGUAGGACUACCCGCUGAACUUAAGCAUAUCAAUAAGCGGAGGA